This 497-nucleotide ribosomal RNA is filed under the name uncultured bacterium. Its description in RNAcentral is "partial 16S ribosomal RNA". It matches the Rfam family "Bacterial small subunit ribosomal RNA", at positions 28 to 507 of the family's 1533-position model. The record is from RNAcentral.
GAUGAACGCUGGCGGCGUGCCUAAUACAUGCAAGUCGAGCGAACGGACGAUAAGCUUGCUUCUCUGAUGUUAGCGGCGGACGGGUGAGUAACACGUGGAUAACCUACCUAUAAGACUGGGAUAACUUCGGGAAACCGGCGCUAAUACCGGAUAAUAUUCUGAACCGCAUGGUUCAAAAGUGAAAGUCGGUCUUGCUGUCACUAAUAGAUGCAUCUGCGCUGCAUUAGCUAGUUGGUAAGGUAACGGCCUACCAAGGCAACUAUGCAUAGCCGACCGGGGAGGGUGAUAGCCGACACGGGAGCGUGGCCAGCGUCCAGGGUACUACGGUAGGGAGCAGAAGCGUACCUGCGGCAAUGGGGGGAAGCCUUGCAGAGCGGGGCGACGUGAGUUAUAAAGAUCUUGGGAUCGGAAAACUGGGUUACGGGGUGAGAACAUAUGUGUAAGGUAACGAGCACAGCUUGACGGUACCGAAUAAGAAAGCAACGGCUAACUACGUG